UACGAACUGUGCGAACGUUAUUCGGAAUCACUGGGCUUAAAGGGUGCGUAGGCGGCUGUCUAAGUAGGGUGUGAAAGCCCCCGGCUCAACCGGGGAAUUGCGCCCUAAACUGGAUGGCUGGAGUGAGGCAGGGGUGUGUGGAACUUCCGGUGGAGCGGUGAAAUGUGUUGAUAUCGGAAGGAACGCCGGUGGCGAAAGCGACACACUGGGUCUCAACUGACGCUGAGGCACGAAAGCCAGGGGAGCAAACGGG
RNAcentral lists this ribosomal RNA (253 nucleotides) under uncultured bacterium. Its description in RNAcentral is "partial 16S ribosomal RNA". It matches the Rfam family "Bacterial small subunit ribosomal RNA", at positions 524 to 776 of the family's 1533-position model. The record is from RNAcentral.